GUAGGGGGCCAGCGUUGUUCGGAAUUACUGGGUGUAAAGGGUUCGUAGGCGGUGCGGCAAGUUGGGAGUGAAAUCUCUGGGCUUAACCCAGAGGCUGCUUCCAAAACUGCUGUGCUUGAGUGUGGGAGAGGCGCGUGGAAUUGCAGGUGUAGCGGUGAAAUGCGUAGAUAUCUGCAGGAACACCCGUGGCGAAAGCGGCGCGCUGGACCACAACUGACGCUGAGGAACGAAAGCUAGGGGAGCAAACAGGAUUAGAUACCCUGGUAGUCCUAGCCCUAAACGAUCAGGACUUGGGGUGCCACCCGUUCGGGUGUCGUCCCGGAGCUAACGCGUUAAGUCCUGCACCUGGGGAGUACGGUCGCAAGACUG
Molecule: ribosomal RNA, 369 nt
Filed under: uncultured bacterium
Lineage: Bacteria
Description: bacterial SSU rRNA
Rfam family: Bacterial small subunit ribosomal RNA
Source: RNAcentral